CAAGUAUUUUCGACCGCAACAUGGAGUGGGAGUAGGUUCUCAAUGAUGUUAUCCCCGACUGUGCGUACACUGGCUGAUGCACCAUGACGAAAGAGUAACUUGAUCAUGUCAACAGAAAACCUUUCGGCAGCUUCAUGGAGCGGGAAGUAUCCAUAUGGGUUAAUGCAGUUGGGAUUGGCAUGGUGUCCAUUGAGCCUUGGUGCCUUGCCCUCCAAUAUAACUUUUGCACAUCGUAGGGCAUCAUAACUGAUCAUGUAAGUUAAGGUUUGUGAGGUGAUGGUAUGUUUCCAUGUCAUACCCCGCUUGCUCACCAAAAAGUUGAGUAAGCACCGGACGCUGUCCUUCUCUAAGAUGGGCCACAAUUGGGGAGAUAGCUCAUAG
Molecule: ribosomal RNA, 381 nt
Filed under: Triticum aestivum (bread wheat)
Lineage: Eukaryota; Viridiplantae; Streptophyta; Magnoliopsida; Poales; Poaceae
Description: partial small subunit ribosomal RNA
Source: RNAcentral